CUCUCACUCUGUGGGAAGCCGGGUGCCAUGUAAAGUCUGCUACCCUGAGACCGCCAUGCUGGGAGGAAGCCCAAGCUGGCCAUGUGGGGAGGCCCACGACGAGAGAGUCCUGCCAGUCCCGCUGUUCGUGUCAUCUCAGCUGAGGCAUCAGACGUGAUAAUGAUGGAUGGAGAUGACGAUUAAACGACUCCAGCCCCCGCCUCCACCUGACUCGGACUCUCAGAGAGACCCCGGAUGACACUGCCCAGCCGAGCCUGGAAUUCUUUAGGGUUCCCUGGUGACCCUGAAGUAUGGUGCCCUAGAGGAAAGACAGGGGAAUGGUGAGUCCUUUCCUCUUCACUGGUGGCCUCCGUUACAGCAGCGACCUGGCCCUUCCUGGAUUUGUGGCCCACAUCAAGGCAGGAGAGAGAGAAGAAGGCUGAGGAAGCUGACAGCAGACGUGGUUUCCAAGGAAACAGGAAGCCGCGAUGGGAGCCUAGUGUUUGAUGAGGAAUACACGGGAAGUUGUCUUCCCUGGAGCUCCAAGCACAGGACGCCUUUGCUCGGAGUCUGUCCCGGGAUUCAUCCGCGAGGAUUCCAGCCUGUGGACCCGCCUGGUCCCGGGUGGAGGGAUGGCGGGCCUGAGUGCCGAAUGCUCCAGAAAUAAACCGAGCAAUGACACUGUGUCCAGCGCUCAGACACCGUGAUCUGAGGUGGCCGAGGUGCAAGACCUCCCUGGAGCCGUCAAGAAUCAGCAUCUAAGGGGCACUUCUUUGGGGCCACACGUGACACGGGGCGGGCUGGAGCUGUAGGCA
This 794-nucleotide long non-coding RNA is filed under the name Equus caballus (horse). Its description in RNAcentral is "lncRNA (ENSECAG00000044781.1)". The record is from RNAcentral. Lineage: Eukaryota; Metazoa; Chordata; Mammalia; Perissodactyla; Equidae.